Long non-coding RNA from Syngnathoides biaculeatus (alligator pipefish), 1484 nucleotides. RefSeq lists it as uncharacterized. The record is from RefSeq and is a predicted model, not a curated record. Lineage: Eukaryota; Metazoa; Chordata; Actinopteri; Syngnathiformes; Syngnathidae. The transcript has 3 exons.
CAAAACGGUAAGAAAAAAAGCAUGUCAACAGUUGAAAGAUGCAGCACGUUGAAAUCAGCUUAUUCCUGUGCAUGAAUCCGUCAGAAAGCAAUGGCUCUACACUGCAAGCUCCAUGCUGGUGGACCAACGGUAGUACCUUAUUGCAAAGGGCUCCUUGAGGUGGUGUUUCCUUACCUUGUUGCUGUGUGCCCAGCAUCAGGUAUCUUGGGUCAUUUAAGGAGGAAACCAGAGUACCCGGAGAAAACCUGCGCGGGCACGGUGAGAACAAGCAAACUUCACACAGGUGGACCCGGGAGUUGAACGCCAGUCAUCAGAACUGUGAACCCAAUGUUCCAACUAGUUAUUCCAUUUCGCCAGAUUCAAACCACUCCAACAUAUUUUUCACAUUCCUCACUUCACAUUUUUACCUACAUUCCACAUUUUAUCAUGUUAGAAUACUUCCACAUUUCUUGACCCAUUCAAACCAUUCCACUCCGACACAUUUCUGACAUUUCACUGUUUUCAGCGACAUUUCACAUUUUACUAUGCUAAAAUAUCCACACUCUCCCUAUGCAGCAGUAUCACCAUGUAGUAUGGUGCCUCCACCACCUUCUUACGCAAGAACCUGCAACACACUAAGAGAGCAGCUGAAAAGAUCUCUCAUAACACCCUGACAGCACUGUGCACAUUACCCACUGAUUGCAGCUCUUGUUAAAUUGGCCAGAUUGACCAUAUCGGUUAUAUUCUCAAUAGUAUAAGGCACAAUGCACUGUAUUUUUCAGACUAUACGUAGCAUUUUUUUUUCUACAGUUCGGCCAGUGGUGCAACUUAUACUCCAGAGCAACUAAUGUUAAACUAUUAAGUCAUUAUAUCCAGCCAUCCAUUUUCUGAGCUGCUUCGCCAUUAUUUUCACAGUAACCACUGCAGGAGGGUGCUCUAGGCCUGUGUAUCUGUAGCUGCUACGUCUGUAUUUCUGAAAAUGCAUUUCAAAUUAGCAGUAAUAUAUAAAAACAACUGAACAGCACUGAACAAAAAUGGCAUUGAAGAGAAAAUCAUAUUCUGCAGAUUACAAGAUGCAAGUAGUGAAAUAUGCAGCUACACUUAUGCAGAUGGCUUCUUUAGAGCACAAAGCACUCUGCUUUUGAUGUAUCAAAAGCAUUGGCGAGCCCAUCACGCCACAGUUAAAAAAUGUUCUCUACCUGUAGAGUUGGCAAUGUUGUUUACAAAUGACAUGGAGGAUGAAAUUUUCAUUGGAUUUAUUGAUUUUGAGUGAAACUGAUGGUUUGGUAUGACUGUUAGCAUAUUCUUUAUGCUAUAGUUAUCUGAACUUUUAGGUUACGUUAACAUACCAGCAACAUUCUCAGUUUGUUGUUUAUGGAUCAUGCAACGUUAGCAACACCGUACAUCAAUUCAUCCUGCUCUGCUUCUAUUUUUAUUUUAAAAUGUGUUCCAAGAUGAAAUAUCUGCUCUUGUGUUGAUUGUUAUCAAAUAAAUUUUCCCUCAAA